CCACAGAGCAAACUUUACACACCUCAUCUUUCAGCUACAAUCUUUGUUGCAGGGAUCUUCUGCCAAACAAGGCUGAGAGAAGAUUUCUUACAGCUGUCAUGUUGAUGCUGUUUCAGUCUUUGGGCAAACACACUCAUAUAUUAGGGCUGAUAUCAGGGCUGCACAAGUUCUUUGUGUUUGUGAUCAUGAAUAACAGAAGUGUGCCUGUUGAAGAUCAUGUUUCUGCAUUAUUAUAUGUCCUGUUAUUGUUCUGUGUUAUAUUCAGCUUUCAGCAUCCUUUCCCAGCCCCUGUUACACCAUCCAUACAAAGCCAAUCUGACUGUGAGCCAAUGUGUUUGUUUGUGUUGGAUCAAUAGAUUUGACAGACUUGGUUCAUCCAGAGGGAAACAGUCCAAAUUCAGAUCUAAUGAAAUGAUGGAGGCUGUUUCCUACCACGGUGCUGAUGUGUGACUAACAAGGCUCAUGGUCUCCAGCAGACAAGCGCCUGGAAUGAGGCCCAGUGAAAGAUAUGAAGCAGAAAUGGUGUCAUUAGGAGAAGAAGAGGAGAACAAGUCCGGCGAGGAGGCAGCAGCUCUUAAAGAUGAAACAGCAGCUCAGCCCUGAGCUCAGAGAGCUGCACAUGAAAAAGCUCCUCAAGCAGAUCCUGUCAGAGGUUUGUCAUCAACAGGAGGAACUGUUCACAUCAUAGGAUGAAGAUGCUGUCAGCUGGAUGAAGAAGGUUAUUUAAUGCAAACGUUCACACUGAAGUCAAAUUGUUGUCGUGUUGAACAGAUUCAUGUACUGAUCGUCUCCAGAAGGUUAGAAGAGCUUCAAUGAAUCAUUAGAAACAACUUACAGCUGCACAGCUGUGUCAAACACAUCUGUGUGUCAUUGUGGGAUUGUUGUGUUUCUACAUGUGACACACGUCUAAAACAUGCACACAAUCUGAACACAAACAGGGACUCAUGUGUUCCCACAGCCAGAUGCUGAGAGCCAUUUCCUUGUAGUCCUGUGUCUACAUACAUGAACCAUUAGAUGUUAUUGGAAUGAUUGUCAGCUCUGAUAGUUUCAUGUGUGUUUAGCUGGACGCUGUUUGAUCCUCGACAUGUUUAAAGGUGUCCAGUCCUGAGACACUGGGGCUGGAAACAGCUGUGAUGUCAUUGGACUGUCACACAGACAGAAGUGCAUGAAGUGAGCAGCCGAGGAGCCGCUGAUGUUUUGGAUUCAACAGCAUUUGAAAGGUCGACACAGACACGUUUGCACACAGAAAGCUGAAUCUGUCAUAUGCCACAGUGAACUCACUGUUCAGUGUUUUUCAGGAAGCUUCUUAACUGCCUCUGCUGCCAAACAAGCAGCUGAUGUCCUUGAGAAGAAGCUGAAGAAGUCUCCAACAACAAAUACAGGAAGUGGACUUUCAAAUACUAGAUUCACUUUAGACUCACA
Molecule: long non-coding RNA, 1422 nt
Organism: Haplochromis burtoni (Burton's mouthbrooder)
Lineage: Eukaryota; Metazoa; Chordata; Actinopteri; Cichliformes; Cichlidae
Exons: 2
Source: RefSeq, a predicted model, not a curated record